This is a long non-coding RNA of Molossus molossus (Pallas's mastiff bat), 113 nucleotides long. RefSeq lists it as uncharacterized. Lineage: Eukaryota; Metazoa; Chordata; Mammalia; Chiroptera; Molossidae. The record is from RefSeq and is a predicted model, not a curated record. The transcript is spliced from 3 exons.
GUGGGACCACCCAAGCAGGACUUCUAGGAGGCACCUCUGUCCCGCCAGGAGGCCCAGGGACUGGAAGUGAAACAGGUGCCACAGGAGGAUUUUUGAGGACAACCAUUAUACCA